RNAcentral lists this ribosomal RNA (468 nucleotides) under uncultured bacterium. Its description in RNAcentral is "partial 16S ribosomal RNA". It matches the Rfam family "Bacterial small subunit ribosomal RNA", at positions 28 to 507 of the family's 1533-position model. The record is from RNAcentral.
GACGAACGCUGGCGGCGUGCUUAACACAUGCAAGUCGAACGGAAAGGCCCUGCUUUUGUGGGGUGCUCGUGUGGCGAACGGGUGAGUAACACGUGAGUAACCUGCCCUUGACUUUGGGAUAACUUCAGGAAACUGGGGCUAAUACCGGAUAGGAGCUCCUGCUGCAUGGUGGGGGUUGGAAAGUUUCGGCGGUUGGGGAUGGACGGGCGGCUUAUCAGCUUGUUGGUGGGGUAGUGGCUUACCAAGGCUUCGACGGGUAGCCGGCCUGAGAGGGUGACCGGGCACAAUGCGACUGAGAGAGGGAGCAGUCGCGUAUGGGAGGCAGCGGGGGGGAACAUUACACAGUGGGCGCGAGCGUGAGGCGGAGACGUUGGGGGCGUGAUGACGUCCUUCGGGUUAUAAACCGCUGUCGCCUGUGACGAAGCGGGAGUGACGGUAACGGGUAAAGAAGCACCGGCUAACUACGUG